GGUAUGGGAUGAGCUUGCGUCCGAUUAGCUAGUUGGCGGGGCAACGGCCCACCAAGGCGACGAUCGGUAGCCGGCCUGAGAGGGUGAUCGGCCACAUUGGGACUGAGAUACGGCCCAGACUCCUACGGGAGGCAGCAAUAGGGAAUAUUGCACAAUGGGGGAAACCCUGAUGCAGCAACGCCACGUGUGGGAAGAAGCAUUUCGGUGUGUAAACCACUGUCAUGAGGGAAUAAGGCCCGCCUUCGGGCGGGAUUGGAUGUACCUUGAGAGGAAGCACCGGCAAACUUCGUGCCAGCAGCCGCGGUAAUACGAGGGGUGCAAGCGUUGUUCGGAAUUACUGGGCGUAAAGGGAGCGUAGGCGGAGAUUCAAGCGGAUUGUACAAUCCCGGGGCCCAACCCCGGCUCUGCAGUCCGAACUGGAUCUCUUGGAUAGUUCAGGGGCAGGC
This 446-nucleotide ribosomal RNA is filed under the name uncultured bacterium. Its description in RNAcentral is "bacterial SSU rRNA". It matches the Rfam family "Bacterial small subunit ribosomal RNA", at positions 217 to 662 of the family's 1533-position model. The record is from RNAcentral.